ACGCGAGGAACCUUACCAGGUCUUGACAUCCCAUUGACCGCUAUGGAGACAUAGCUUUCCCUUUUAGGGACAGUGGUGACAGGUGGUGCAUGGUUGUCGUCAGCUCGUGUCGUGAGAUGUUGGGUUAAGUCCCGCAACGAGCGCAACCCUUGUUCUUAGUUGCCAUCAUUUAGUUGGGCACUCUAAGGAGACUGCCGGUGACAAACCGGAGGAAGGUGGGGAUGACGUCAAAUCAUCAUGCCCCUUAUGACCUGGGCUACACACGUGCUACAAUGGACGGUACAAACGGUUGCCAACCCGCGAGGGGGAGCUAAUCCGAUAAAACCGUUCUCAGUUCGGAUUGUAGGCUGCAACUCGCCUACAUGAAGCCGGAAUCGCUAGUAAUCGCGGAUCAGCAUGCCGCGGUGAAUACGUUCCCGGGCCUUGCACUCACCGCCCGU
RNAcentral lists this ribosomal RNA (440 nucleotides) under uncultured bacterium. RNAcentral's name for it is "bacterial SSU rRNA". It matches the Rfam family "Bacterial small subunit ribosomal RNA", at positions 959 to 1397 of the family's 1533-position model. The record is from RNAcentral.